RNAcentral lists this ribosomal RNA (1059 nucleotides) under Pichia sp. FI09. RNAcentral's name for it is "eukaryotic LSU rRNA". The stretch from base 294 to 1059 matches the Rfam family "Eukaryotic large subunit ribosomal RNA", at positions 1 to 792 of the family's 3401-position model. The record is from RNAcentral. Lineage: Eukaryota; Fungi; Ascomycota; Pichiomycetes; Pichiales; Pichiaceae.
CUUUUGUAAAAAUGGCAUAUUUUGGGUGAAUCAUCGAAUCUUUGAACGCACAUUGCGCCCUCUGGUAUUCCAGAGGGCAUGCCUGUUUGAGCGUCAUUUCUCUCUCAAACCCCCGGGUUUGGUAUUGAGUGAUACUCUUAGUCGGACUAGGCGUUUGCUUGAAAAGUAUUGGCAUGGGUAGUACUAGAUAGUGCUGUCGACCUCUCAAUGUAUUAGGUUUAUCCAACUCGUUGAAUGGUGUGGCGGGAUAUUUCUGGUAUUGUUGGCCCGGCCUUACAACAACCAAACAAGUUUGACCUCAAAUCAGGUAGGAAUACCCGCUGAACUUAAGCAUAUCAAUAAGCGGAGGAAAAGAAACCAACAGGGAUUGCCUUAGUAGCGGCGAGUGAAGCGGCAAAAGCUCAAAUUUGAAAUCUGGCGCCUUCGGUGUCCGAGUUGUAAUUUGAAGAUUGUAACCUUGGGGUUGGCUCUUGUCUAUGUUUCUUGGAACAGGACGUCACAGAGGGUGAGAAUCCCGUGCGAUGAGAUGCCCAAUUCUAUGUAAGGUGCUUUCGAAGAGUCGAGUUGUUUGGGAAUGCAGCUCUAAGUGGGUGGUAAAUUCCAUCUAAAGCUAAAUAUUGGCGAGAGACCGAUAGCGAACAAGUACAGUGAUGGAAAGAUGAAAAGAACUUUGAAAAGAGAGUGAAAAAGUACGUGAAAUUGUUGAAAGGGAAGGGUUUGAGAUCAGACUCGAUAUUUUGUGAGCCUUGCCUUCGUGGCGGGGUGACCCGCAGCUUAUCGGGCCAGCAUCGGUUGGGGCGGUAGGAUAAUGGCGUAGGAAUGUGACUUUACUUCGGUGAAGUGUUAUAGCCUGCGUUGAUGCUGCCUGCCUAGACCGAGGACUGCGAUUUUAUCAAGGAUGCUGGCAUAAUGAUCCAACCGCCCGUCUUGAAACACGGACAGAGUCUAACGUCUUAUGCGAGUGGUUUGGGUGUUAAACCGUACGCGUAAUGAACGUGAACGUUAGGUGAGGCUCUGUGAAUGCAUCAUCGAACGAUCCUGAAUGCUUCCGUAUGAUUG